Molecule: ribosomal RNA, 1736 nt
Filed under: Salmonella enterica subsp. enterica serovar Namur str. 05-2929
Lineage: Bacteria; Pseudomonadati; Pseudomonadota; Gammaproteobacteria; Enterobacterales; Enterobacteriaceae
Description: bacterial LSU rRNA
Rfam family: Bacterial large subunit ribosomal RNA
Source: RNAcentral
GUUGGGUAGGGGAGCGUUCUGUAAGCCUGUGAAGGUGGCCUGUGAGGGUUGCUGGAGGUAUCAGAAGUGCGAAUGCUGACAUAAGUAACGAUAAAGCGGGUGAAAAGCCCGCUCGCCGGAAGACCAAGGGUUCCUGUCCAACGUUAAUCGGGGCAGGGUGAGUCGACCCCUAAGGCGAGGCCGAAAGGCGUAGUCGAUGGGAAACGGGUUAAUAUUCCCGUACUUGGUGUUACUGCGAAGGGGGGACGGAGAAGGCUAUGUUGGCCGGGCGACGGUUGUCCCGGUUUAAGCGUGUAGGCUGGUUUUCCAGGCAAAUCCGGUAAAAUCAAGGCUGAGGCGUGAUGACGAGGCACUACGGUGCUGAAGCAACAAAUGCCCUGCUUCCAGGAAAAGCCUCUAAGCAUCAGGUAACAUCAAAUCGUACCCCAAACCGACACAGGUGGUCAGGUAGAGAAUACCAAGGCGCUUGAGAGAACUCGGGUGAAGGAACUAGGCAAAAUGGUGCCGUAACUUCGGGAGAAGGCACGCUGACACGUAGGUGAAGUGAUUUACUCAUGGAGCUGAAGUCAGUCGAAGAUACCAGCUGGCUGCAACUGUUUAUUAAAAACACAGCACUGUGCAAACACGAAAGUGGACGUAUACGGUGUGACGCCUGCCCGGUGCCGGAAGGUUAAUUGAUGGGGUCAGCGCAAGCGAAGCUCCUGAUCGAAGCCCCGGUAAACGGCGGCCGUAACUAUAACGGUCCUAAGGUAGCGAAAUUCCUUGUCGGGUAAGUUCCGACCUGCACGAAUGGCGUAAUGAUGGCCAGGCUGUCUCCACCCGAGACUCAGUGAAAUUGAACUCGCUGUGAAGAUGCAGUGUACCCGCGGCAAGACGGAAAGACCCCGUGAACCUUUACUAUAGCUUGACACUGAACAUUGAGCCUUGAUGUGUAGGAUAGGUGGGAGGCUUUGAAGUGUGGACGCCAGUCUGCAUGGAGCCGACCUUGAAAUACCACCCUUUAAUGUUUGAUGUUCUAACGUGGACCCGUAAUCCGGGUUGCGGACAGUGUCUGGUGGGUAGUUUGACUGGGGCGGUCUCCUCCUAAAGAGUAACGGAGGAGCACGAAGGUUGGCUAAUCCUGGUCGGACAUCAGGAGGUUAGUGCAAUGGCAUAAGCCAGCUUGACUGCGAGCGUGACGGCGCGAGCAGGUGCGAAAGCAGGUCAUAGUGAUCCGGUGGUUCUGAAUGGAAGGGCCAUCGCUCAACGGAUAAAAGGUACUCCGGGGAUAACAGGCUGAUACCGCCCAAGAGUUCAUAUCGACGGCGGUGUUUGGCACCUCGAUGUCGGCUCAUCACAUCCUGGGGCUGAAGUAGGUCCCAAGGGUAUGGCUGUUCGCCAUUUAAAGUGGUACGCGAGCUGGGUUUAGAACGUCGUGAGACAGUUCGGUCCCUAUCUGCCGUGGGCGCUGGAGAACUGAGGGGGGCUGCUCCUAGUACGAGAGGACCGGAGUGGACGCAUCACUGGUGUUCGGGUUGUCAUGCCAAUGGCACUGCCCGGUAGCUAAAUGCGGAAGAGAUAAGUGCUGAAAGCAUCUAAGCACGAAACUUGCCCCGAGAUGAGUUCUCCCUGAGACUUAGAGUCUCCUGAAGGAACGUUGAAGACGACGACGUUGAUAGGCCGGGUGUGUAAGCGCAGCGAUGCGUUGAGCUAACCGGUACUAAUGAACCGUGAGGCUUAACCUUACAACGCCGAAG